This 550-nucleotide long non-coding RNA is filed under the name Androctonus crassicauda. The record is from RNAcentral. Lineage: Eukaryota; Metazoa; Arthropoda; Arachnida; Scorpiones; Buthidae.
AAACAUAACUAGAUACCAAAAAACAUGACAAGUGACCACAAAUAUUAAGCGAUAAUAAAGCAAUUAAGCAAUUGCUGUAAACUUAUGGUUAAUCACCAUUUACGAUUAUCGAAGCGAAUUGCAAGAAACAUACACUGUAUAAAGAAAAAUCAAUAAAGUUCCGAAAUGCCACGCCAUAAACUAUUAUCCACCAGACAAUUAAUAAUUCAAAAUAGACAAGUAGGAAUGAUAGUCAGCGAGCUAUCAAAAAUAUUGCAAAUUAGCGAUUUAUAGAAUAUGCAAACAGCAUACGGAGACAGGAACAUUAUCCCGGAGGAAGUCGACUGGCCGUCCUCCAUUAACAUCUCAGGAAGAGGAAGAACAAUUAAUAAGUUUGAGCGAGAAACAACCUUCAAACCGGCGACAGUUCUUAGAGAAGAGUUGGGAUUAGCUGUAAGCGUUGAUACUGUGAAAAGACUAAGUAAUCAGUUGAGAAACUACAAAAAAUAUCACGGAAAAGUUACAAUAUCGUUUUUAGAAAGUGUAGUUAAUCAGAAAACCUGAUUUUUAA